UGCGGACUGAGCCCCAGGGGAGGAUGCCGGAGCGACGCAGGGGAAUGGGCAAAGGUCCGCAGAUGAACGGACAGGCUGGUCCCAGGAAAGGGCCGUAAGGUACCGGCAGGCCUGACACCACCCCAGGGUGCUGGGUGCCAGACAGAUGGUACGGAACACAGAGGCACGCCCUCGGGGAGCUGUUUGUCCUCCUUGGCUCACUGUUACAACAUGCCAUGGCAGAGGUUGCUACCUGCUUAAUCAACAACCAUUCCCCCAUUCAUCCUCACUAACAGAACCUUGGAAUGACCCUGGGUGAUGGCUGGUACUUCAGGAACCUUGUUGGACCAUGAGGUGACCUUGAAUAAAAAUGCCAAAUACAGAGGCUAGUGUUAAAAAAAGACAGAAGUGGCCUAAGGCCCAUAGAAUCAGCAUACUAGCUCUGGCCAGCCUACCUCCAGGCCUCUUUGAGGCAAGAGAGACAUACAGAGAUAAAUAAAGCCCUGGCUAUUUCUGGUGUCUGUUACUAACCAACACUCAUGGGCAGGUUCCUUUGACUUAGACUGCAUGUUUUGCAUGUAUGAGGCCCUGGGUUCGAUCCCCGGAAUUUCCAGGACAAGUCGGUAUUUUGGGGCUAUUUCAAAUCCUAAAAGAUGAUGCUGUGAAAGUGCUGCACUCAACA
Molecule: long non-coding RNA, 661 nt
Organism: Bubalus bubalis (water buffalo)
Lineage: Eukaryota; Metazoa; Chordata; Mammalia; Artiodactyla; Bovidae
Exons: 3
Source: RefSeq, a predicted model, not a curated record